This 90-nucleotide transfer RNA is filed under the name Actinomycetes bacterium. RNAcentral describes it as "Actinobacteria bacterium tRNA-Ser". It matches the Rfam family "tRNA". Rfam says of the family: Transfer RNA (tRNA) molecules are approximately 80 nucleotides in length. Their secondary structure includes four short double-helical elements and three loops (D, anti-codon, and T loops). The record is from RNAcentral. Lineage: Bacteria; Bacillati; Actinomycetota; Actinomycetes.
GGGAGGGUGGCCGAGCGGACGAAGGCGACGGUCUUGAAAACCGUUGGCGGGGCGACCCGCCCGUGGGUUCGAAUCCCACCCCUCCCGCCC